This 525-nucleotide ribosomal RNA is filed under the name uncultured Geobacteraceae bacterium. RNAcentral describes it as "bacterial SSU rRNA". It matches the Rfam family "Bacterial small subunit ribosomal RNA", at positions 9 to 540 of the family's 1533-position model. The record is from RNAcentral. Lineage: Bacteria; Pseudomonadati; Thermodesulfobacteriota; Desulfuromonadia; Geobacterales; Geobacteraceae.
GAGUUUGAUCCUGGCUCAGGAUGAACGCUGGCGGCGUGGAUAAGGCAUGCAAGUCGAGUGGGUUAGACCCACGGCAGACGAGGUAGUAACACGUAGGUACGCACCCUCUAGUCGCGCAUAACUAGUCGAAAGAUUAGAUAAUUCGCGAUGGUCCCCGUGAUGUCGCAAGACAUUUUACAGGGUAAAGAUUUAUCGCUAGAGGAGCGGCCUGCGCACCAUUAGCUAGUUGGUAGGGUAACGGCCUACCAAGGCAAAGAUGGUUAGCUGGUCUGAGAGGAUGAUCAGCCACACUGGAACUGAGAUACGGUCCAGACUCCUACGGGAGGCAGCAGUGGGGAAUAUUGCGCAAUGGGCGAAAGCCUGACGCAGCAACGCCGCGUGGGUGAUGAAGGCCUUCGGGUUGUAAAGCCCUGUCGGAGGGAACGAAUGCUCCUGAGGUUAACAGCCUCGGGAAGUGACGGUACCCUCAAAGGAAGCACCGGCUAACUCUGUGCCAGCAGCCGCGGUAAUACAAGGGCRAAUKSK